This 465-nucleotide ribosomal RNA is filed under the name uncultured bacterium. RNAcentral's name for it is "partial 16S ribosomal RNA". It matches the Rfam family "Bacterial small subunit ribosomal RNA", at positions 28 to 507 of the family's 1533-position model. The record is from RNAcentral.
GACGAACGCUGGCGGCGUGCUUAACACAUGCAAGUCGAACGGAAAGGCCCCAGCUUGCUGGGGUACUCGAGUGGCGAACGGGUGAGUAACACGUGGGUGAUCUGCCCUGCACUCUGGGAUAAGCCUGGGAAACUGGGUCUAAUACCGGAUAGGACCGUGCUUUAGUGUGUGCGGUGGAAAGUUUUUCGGUGCAGGAUGAGCCCGCGGCCUAUCAGCUUGUUGGUGGGGUAAUGGCCUACCAAGGCGGCGACGGGUAGCCGGCCUGAGAGGGUGUACGGCCACAUUGGGACUGAGACACGGCCCAGACUCCUACGGGAGGCAGCAGUGGGGAAUAUUGCACAAUGGGCGCAAGCCUGUUGCAGCGACGCCGCGUGGGGGAUGACGGCCUUCGGGUUGUAAACCCCUUUCGGCAGGGACGAAGCUUUUGUGACGGUACCUGCAUAAGAAGCACCGGCUAACUACGUG